AAACGGAACGAAACGUAGCCAGAUUGUCUUGCUUGCGAACUGGGCCUUUCGUGGGUUCUUCGUCUAUCUCGCCUCUCGUCGCUUGGGGUUUUGUCUGAACUUGUCAAAAUCGCCAAAUUCCGCUCGUGUAAGGUGAAUGGACUUUGGACGGAGGGAGCAAGGAGGGAGUCUUCAGAUUCCACCCAAGUCACCCAACCACCCAUACCACUUUUGCUCGUUGCUCUACCAACAGAAACAAGAAAAUCCAAAGAAAAUCGUCAGCAGAGAACAGACGGCGAACGCGAAGAGACGGAGAGAGAGUUUUCAGUUCAGAGUCAAGAAACAAUCAAAAGAAGAGCAGAGUGCGGCUCCACGAGGAGGUAUGUGUCUGCGCUGUCUGGUCGUUUAUUUGGUCUGUGCGAAAACAACCGCGAAGAACAGCGAAGGCAGCCCAAUUUCCUCCUUAUACUAUCGGGCGUGAUUAUUCAUGCAAGAUUAAUAUAUACGCUGUUUAUGUCUGCAUACCAAAUUUGCUGAACGAUAGUCGCCAAAAUGGGUGAAUACAUGAAAGAGCUUUUGGACAAAGAAGCUAAUGCAGUGUUUGGCAUUGGCAAAUCCAUCCCUGAUACUGAUCCAGAGAAACUGAGGAAGAUUGGAAACUUGUGUCUUGAGCUCGGGGACCACUGGAAUGCAAUCUGUGCUUACACGAAGAGUUUGGCCAUGGCACCAGCUGGAAGCAAACUUCGUUGUCUGGCCUACGCCAACAAGAGUGCCGUCCUGCUUGCUUUGGGCUACUACGAGGAAUGCAUCAGUGAUGCAAAAAUUUCUCUUCAAAACCAGUACCCUGACAAUCUGGCCCACAAGCUGCACAUGCGGAUGGUCGUCUGCAACAAAGCGCUGGGAAAUAAAAGCCGCUGAAGCUGAAGAGAACCAACUUGCUGCAGUUCAAGCGAUCAAAAGAUUGGCGAUGAAUAGUGAAUCAGAGGCAAAGGCCAUCAAAGGGUUUAUGCUUGAAUUGAAAAUGAAUCGCAAGCCAAAAAUGCCCAAAUUUGAGAUUGAAUAUGUCGCACCACCUCCCCUGAGCCACGGUCCAAAUCCAAAAGACCCAAAGAUUUCUGCAGCCCUUAAUCUGAAAAAAUGAGGGAAAAGUCUGAUUGCAAAUAGAAAACUGAAAAUUGGUGAUGUCUUAGCUGUUGAAGAGCCGGCAUUUUUUAAAUUCUCAUCCAUAUGAUUGACGUUGGUGAACCUUCCUGGAUCCAUUGCAGCAAAUGCUUAAAGCUCUGUGUGAAUUUGAUCCCUUGCAAAACAUGCUAUAUGGGUUUGCUACUGAAGUGAUGAAUGCAAAUCUGAAGCUUUGGAGAAGUAUCACAGGUAUGAAUGCAGAGCCAAGGAAAAGCUCAUCAAAACCCUUCUUGAAGACGGAGUAAAAAGCAAAAUGGAUUUCAUCUACAUUAUAAAUUACUCGUUUGCAUUGAUAUUUGGUCUUGGCUUGGAAAAUUGCAUCAGAGCUCUCUCACCUGACGGCCAAUUUUCAAAUAAGGCCACGGAGCAGAUUAAGGAACUUAUGAAAAUGCCAGUUAGAAGUGAUGGCCACUACCUCGUCUCGGAUGCAUCAAAUUUGUUCAUCGUGAACGUGGUGGCCGAUUGCCUGGCAAACACCACAGAAAGGAAGCAGGCUUUGUUUGAAUUUUUGCAAAAAGCUUUGCUUGUUCUGCAUACAAACUGGCUGCCAAUGAAUGACACAAUGUUCUGCUACUGACAAUAAGCUUGUUUGUCAAUCGUCAAGACCAAUUGGAUUGGGGGUCUAUCUAAUGUAUAAUUCCAUCAAAGGCGGUUGCGACUGCAAUGCUGUCCACAGCAUGUACCGACAGACAUUAGUUGUGCAAGCUGGAAGGCCUAUCAAAAAGGGCGAUCGAGGAGAUUCUCUUGGACAAAGGUCUUGACUACAUCAAGAAUCCUCUUCAAAUUAGACGCUUCUACUAUUCAGAAGUUGAAGGUACCAAAGGAAAGUGCAAUUGCAGAGCCUGCGAGGAGAUUUGGCCAACACACAAAGAGCAAGUCAAAUGCUACGAAGAUCUCUAAGAAUCCAGCCAACAAAGAUCUCAUAAGAGAGUUGUGUUGUACUGAUGCUGCAUUCUUUGGCAAGGAAAGUAGUGGCUCUCCAGUCUCUAUUUUAAAGCCUGAGACGCCAGAAAUUUGGUCGAAGGUCUUGGAGCUGUACAUGAUCAUAGAAGAGACGAUCAGCUGUACAAUCAAGUGUUUAAAUUUGUCUGCCAGUAUUUGAGUUUGGCCACCAAAAAUAUUGACACAGACCCAGCUAUUCUGUCAACGUGAAGCUUACAUCAGAUCGGCUCAAGAAAUGCCCCGGCGUAGAGGAAAAAAAGACGGGAGUCAAGAAAAACCCCGCAAAUCAAGCAAAAGCAAUGGACGAGAUUGUGGCAACGUCGCGCCGAGUCGCUCCAUGGCACCAGGCAGAGCAGCUGCUCAAGUUGAUCUCAAGCAAGGACCACCAGCCGGCCGAGUGCGAAAAGUGACAAAGCCGCCCGUAGCCAAGGAACCUCCGGUGGCUCCUCAUGAGUCGGG
Long non-coding RNA from Neocloeon triangulifer, 2562 nucleotides. RefSeq lists it as uncharacterized. The transcript has 7 exons. NCBI's taxonomy places the organism in Eukaryota, Metazoa, Arthropoda, Insecta, Ephemeroptera, Baetidae. The record is from RefSeq and is a predicted model, not a curated record.